RNAcentral lists this ribosomal RNA (485 nucleotides) under uncultured bacterium. RNAcentral describes it as "partial 16S ribosomal RNA". It matches the Rfam family "Bacterial small subunit ribosomal RNA", at positions 29 to 506 of the family's 1533-position model. The record is from RNAcentral.
AUUGAACGCUGGCGGCAUGCCUUACACAUGCAAGUCGAACGGCAGCACGGGUGCUUGCACCUGGUGGCGAGUGGCGAACGGGUGAGUAAUACAUCGGAACAUGUCCUGUAGUGGGGGAUAGCCCGGCGAAAGCCGGAUUAAUACCGCAUACGAUCUACGGAUGAAAGCGGGGGACCUUCGGGCCUCGCGCUAUAGGGUUGGCCGAUGGCUGAUUAGCUAGUUGGUGGGGUAAAGGCCUACCAAGGCGAUGAUCAGUAGCUGGUCUGAGAGGACGACCAGCCAACCGGGGAUUGGACAAGGGCCCGAACCCCAAGGGGGGGCAGAGGGGGGGAAUUUUGGAAAAGGGGGAAAAGCCUGAUCCAGAAAUGCCGGGGGUGGGAAAAAGGCCUUGGGGUUGAAAAGCAUUUUUGUCCGGAAAAAAAUCCUUGGCCCUAAUACGGGCGGGGGAUGACGGUACCGGAAAAAAAAGCCCCGGCUAACUACGG